AGACCCGAAACCCGGUGAUCUAGCCAUGGGCAGGUUGAAGGUUGGGUAACACUAACUGGAGGACCGAACCGACUAAUGUUGAAAAAUUAGCGGAUGACCUGUGGCUGGGGGUGAAAGGCCAAUCAAACCGGGAGAUAGCUGGUUCUCCCCGAAAGCUAUUUAGGUAGCGCCUCGUGAAUUCAUCUCCGGGGGUAGAGCACUGUUUCGGCUAGGGGGCCAUCCCGGCUUACCAACCCGAUGCAAACUGCGAAUACCGGAGAAUGUUAUCACGGGAGACACACGGCGGGUGCUAACGUCCGUCGUGAAGAGGGAAACAACCCAGACCGCCAGCUAAGGUCCCAAAGUCAUGGUUAAGUGGGAAACGAUGUGGGAAGGCCCAGACAGCCAGGAUGUUGGCUUAGAAGCAGCCAUCAUUUAAAGAAAGCGUAAUAGCUCACUGGUCGAGUCGGCCUGCGCGGAAGAUGUAACGGGGCUAAACCAUGCACCGAAGCUGCGGCAGCGAACGUAUCACCCAAGACAACUUUACGGAGUUGACGAUUGACGGAGCGAAGCGACGUCAAAGCGUUCAUUAAAGUC
RNAcentral lists this ribosomal RNA (576 nucleotides) under Salmonella enterica. RNAcentral's name for it is "partial 23S ribosomal RNA". It matches the Rfam family "Bacterial large subunit ribosomal RNA", at positions 711 to 1261 of the family's 2925-position model. RNAcentral also lists the same sequence under 2 other names. The record is from RNAcentral. Lineage: Bacteria; Pseudomonadati; Pseudomonadota; Gammaproteobacteria; Enterobacterales; Enterobacteriaceae.